Molecule: ribosomal RNA, 277 nt
Filed under: uncultured eukaryote
Lineage: Eukaryota
Description: partial 18S ribosomal RNA
Rfam family: Eukaryotic small subunit ribosomal RNA
Source: RNAcentral
UAGUCAUAUGCUUGUCUCAAAGAUUAAGCCAUGCAUGUCUAAGUAUAAACAUCUUUAUACAGUGAAACUGCGUACAGCUCAUUAUAUCAGUAAUUAUUUAUUUGAUGGUACCUUACUACAUGGAUACCCGUAGUAAUUCUAGAGCUAAUACAUGCGUAAAGUCCCGACUCUCGCGGGGAGGGAUGUAUUUAUUAGAUAAAAAAUCAAUGCGGGCUUUGCCCGGUCAUUUGGUGACUCAUAGUAACUGUUCGAAUCGCAUGGCCUUGUGCUGGCGAUA